UCUCCUGGAAACGGGUGGUAAUGCCGGAUGCUCCGCCCCCUCGCAUGGGGGGUCGGGAAGGCUUCUGCGGAAUGGGACGGGGUCGCGUCCUAUCAGCUUGUUGGCGGGGCGACGGCCCACCAAGGCUUCGACGGGUAGCCGGCCUGAGAGGGCGACCGGCCACAUUGGGACUGAGAUACGGCCCAGACUCCUACGGGAGGCAGCAGUGGGGAAUAUUGCACAAUGGGGGGAACCCUGAUGCAGCGACGCCGCGUGCGGGAUGGAGGCCUUCGGGUCGUGAACCGCUUUUGAUUGGGAGCAAGCGUGAGUGAGUGUACCUUUCGAAUAAGCACCGGCUAACUACGUGCCAGCAGCCGCGGUAAUACGUAGGGUGCAAGCGUUGUCCGGAAUCAUUGGGCGUAAAGGGCUCGUAGGCGGUUCGUCGCGUCCGGGUGUGAAAGCCCAUCGCUUAACGGUGGGUCUGCGCCGGGUACGGGCGGGGCUUUGAGUGGCGGCAGGGGGAGGCUGGAAUUCCCGGUGUAACGGGUGGAUGGUGUAAAUAAUCGGGGAAAGAACCACCCA
RNAcentral lists this ribosomal RNA (561 nucleotides) under uncultured Bifidobacterium sp. Its description in RNAcentral is "bacterial SSU rRNA". It matches the Rfam family "Bacterial small subunit ribosomal RNA", at positions 146 to 713 of the family's 1533-position model. Lineage: Bacteria; Bacillati; Actinomycetota; Actinomycetes; Bifidobacteriales; Bifidobacteriaceae. The record is from RNAcentral.